UAUUAGCACCAAGUGAGGCUGCAGCACCAGCACAAAGUGAGGCUUCAGCAGCAUCAUCAGCAUCCAUAGAGGCAGCACAGGCUCUUAUAGAUAUAAAGAUUGCUGCAGCAACUAUUCCAGAGAUGCCUCCUUUAUCUCCAGUUAUCACUGUUGAGGCCCAACUUGAGCCUCAGACUGCUCAGCCGGUCCAGGAGGCAGUAGCUCCUGUGGUUGCGCCCACCCCAGCUGAAGCACCCCCAGCAUCAGCUGAAGUGGUGACUCCAACUGCUGCCUCUGAGGGUACAGAGAGUGUAACAGCCAAAAAGGAAGACUGAGUCAAGAGAAGAGGUACACCAAAAUGAGAAAACCCCCAAAGCUACCAUUGUGUGGAAACUGGAAGAAAAAAACAAGACAAAGCAAUAAAUGCAAUUUUCAGUAUUGUCAUCAGCGCUGACCAAACUGUACACCAGAUACAUUAAUGUGCAUGGUGCCUUAACAUGUCAUUUUUCCUACGUUUGUAAAUAUAAACCUUUAUACAUUUUUUUUCUAUUGAGACCUUAAGUGCCUGGAGCCACAUACUCUACAUGCAGGCCUAUGCAAGGAAAUGCUAUAAAAACACAUAGGACGGGUUAGAUGAAACAAGAGGGUGCAAUAUUUUGUGAAAUCUGAGAACUCUUGUUGUGACAGUGUGAUGAACUAGGGGAGGAUGCUUGCUUAGUAAAUCCUUGACUAUUUAAAAUAGCUGCUUAUGAGGAAUAAAAGCCAAACACAACUGUGAAUAAAGUUAUGCAAAAACACCAAA
Molecule: long non-coding RNA, 781 nt
Organism: Centropristis striata (black sea bass)
Lineage: Eukaryota; Metazoa; Chordata; Actinopteri; Perciformes; Serranidae
Exons: 3
Source: RefSeq, a predicted model, not a curated record